This is a long non-coding RNA of Poecilia latipinna (sailfin molly), 131 nucleotides long. RefSeq lists it as uncharacterized. NCBI's taxonomy places the organism in Eukaryota, Metazoa, Chordata, Actinopteri, Cyprinodontiformes, Poeciliidae. The record is from RefSeq and is a predicted model, not a curated record. The transcript has 5 exons.
AGUGCAAUAUAUCUUUGUUCACACUGCAGGCUGAAGUGACCCAAAUCCGAUGUUUUUCUGCCUUAAUGCGACCUGCAUCUGAUCUUUUCAUGACAGUCUGAACACCACAAACUGAAAUUUUUUUAAAGCGC